Molecule: non-coding RNA, 21 nt
Filed under: Caenorhabditis elegans
Lineage: Eukaryota; Metazoa; Nematoda; Chromadorea; Rhabditida; Rhabditidae
Source: RNAcentral
UUACAGUAGGCGUUGUAGGCG